AGAUGCAGCCCCAGCCCACUGUCCUCUGAUCCAAGGAGAGUCAUACCAUCUGGGACUGUUUUCCAAAGUCAGAAGGUUAGAAAUAUUCCAACCAGUACCCCUGGGUCAGAGUGACUGAAGAACUCAACUCCCCCAGACACUCUAAAAACCCUCUUGGAAGAUCUUCCCACCACAUGUACACCCCUCUUAACAGCUCUCUGGGAUCUAAGUAUUUGGCCUUUUAACUGUACCGAAAGUGUGAAAGAUGAGGAAAACAACACUCAGGGCGAAGAAAUGACCUUACCAAGUUGAUGCAACUGAUAAAUAUGGGAGUCAGGAC
Molecule: non-coding RNA, 319 nt
Organism: Phascolarctos cinereus (koala)
Lineage: Eukaryota; Metazoa; Chordata; Mammalia; Diprotodontia; Phascolarctidae
Source: RefSeq, a predicted model, not a curated record